CUCUGCGGCUGGAUCACCUCCUUAGAGUUUGAUCCUGGCUCAGGAUGAACGCUGGCGGCGUGCUUAACACAUGCAAGUCGAACGGUGAAGCAGAGCUUGCUCUGUGGAUCAGUGGCGAACGGGUGAGUAACACGUGAGCAAUCUGCCCCUGACUCUGGGAUAACAGCUGGAAACAGCUGCUAAUACCGGAUACGAGCUGCGAAGGCAUCUUCAGCAGCUGGAAAGAAUUUCGGUCAGGGAUGAGCUCGCGGCCUAUCAGCUUGUUGGUGAGGUAACGGCUCACCAAGGCGUCGACGGGUAGCCGGCCUGAGAGGGUGACCGGCCACACUGGGACUGAGACACGGCCCAGACUCCUACGGGAGGCAGCAGUGGGGAAUAUUGCACAAUGGGCGAAAGCCUGAUGCAGCAACGCCGCGUGAGGGACGACGGCCUUCGGGUUGUAAACCUCUUUUAGCAGGGAAGAAGCGAAAGUGACGGUACCUGCAGAAAAAGCACCGGCUAACUACGUGCCAGCAGCCGCGGUAAUACGUAGGGUGCAAGCGUUAUCCGGAAUUAUUGGGCGUAAAGAGCUCGUAGGCGGUUUGUCGCGUCUGCUGUGAAAACUGGAGGCUCAACCUCCAGCCUGCAGUGGGUACGGGCAGACUAGAGUGCGGUAGGGGAGAUUGGAAUUCCUGGUGUAGCGGUGGAAUGCGCAGAUAUCAGGAGGAACACCGAUGGCGAAGGCAGAUCUCUGGGCCGUAACUGACGCUGAGGAGCGAAAGGGUGGGGAGCAAACAGGCUUAGAUACCCUGGUAGUCCACCCCGUAAACGUUGGGAACUAGUUGUGGGGUCCAUUCCACGGAUUCCGUGACGCAGCUAACGCAUUAAGUUCCCCGCCUGGGGAGUACGGCCGCAAGGCUAAAACUCAAAGGAAUUGACGGGGACCCGCACAAGCGGCGGAGCAUGCGGAUUAAUUCGAUGCAACGCGAAGAACCUUACCAAGGCUUGACAUAUACGAGAACGGGCCAGAAAUGGUCAACUCUUUGGACACUCGUAAACAGGUGGUGCAUGGUUGUCGUCAGCUCGUGUCGUGAGAUGUUGGGUUAAGUCCCGCAACGAGCGCAACCCUCGUUCUAUGUUGCCAGCACGUAAUGGUGGGGAACUCAUGGGAUACUGCCGGGGUCAACUCGGAGGAAGGUGGGGAUGACGUCAAAUCAUCAUGCCCCUUAUGUCUUGGGGCUUCACGCAUGCUACAAUGGCCGGUACAAAGGGCUGCAA
This 1257-nucleotide ribosomal RNA is filed under the name Microbacterium lacus. Its description in RNAcentral is "bacterial SSU rRNA". It matches the Rfam family "Bacterial small subunit ribosomal RNA", at positions 1 to 1252 of the family's 1533-position model. Lineage: Bacteria; Bacillati; Actinomycetota; Actinomycetes; Micrococcales; Microbacteriaceae. The record is from RNAcentral.